ACACUCCUGCGGGAGGCAGCAGUGGGGAAUAUUGGACAAUGGGCGCAAGCCUGAUCCAGCCAUGCCGCGUGAGUGAUGAAGGCCCUAGGGUUGUAAAGCUCUUUCACCGGUGAAGAUAAUGACGGUAACCGGAGAAGAAGCCCCGGCUAACUUCGUGCCAGCAGCCGCGGUAAUACGAAGGGGGCUAGCGUUGUUCGGAUUUACUGGGCGUAAAGCGCACGUAGGCGGACUAUUAAGUCAGGGGUGAAAUCCCGGGGCUCAACCCCGGAACUGCCUUUGAUACUGGUAGUCUUGAGUUCGAGAGAGGUGAGUGGAAUUCCGAGUGUAGAGGUGAAAUUCGUAGUUAUUCGGAGGAACACCAGUGGCGAAGGCGGCUCACUGGCUCGAUACUGACGCUGAGGUGCGAAAGCGUGGGGAGCAAACAGGAUUAGAAACCCCAGUAGUCCCAUGAU
This 452-nucleotide ribosomal RNA is filed under the name uncultured organism. RNAcentral's name for it is "partial 16S ribosomal RNA". It matches the Rfam family "Bacterial small subunit ribosomal RNA", at positions 333 to 801 of the family's 1533-position model. The record is from RNAcentral.